This 392-nucleotide ribosomal RNA is filed under the name uncultured marine eukaryote. RNAcentral's name for it is "SSU rRNA". It matches the Rfam family "Eukaryotic small subunit ribosomal RNA", at positions 617 to 1010 of the family's 1831-position model. The record is from RNAcentral.
UGGUUAAAAAGCUCGUAGUUGGAUCUCAACAGCCUUGAAGCGGUUAACUUUGUAGUUUUACUGCUUUAUAGGCUGUGCUUUUGCUGGAGGUUUAGGGGUGCUCUUGAUCGAGUGUCUCUGGAUGCCAGCAGGUUUACUUUGAAAAAAUUAGAGUGCUCAAAGCAGGCUAAAAUGCCUGAAUAUUCGUGCAUGGAAUAAUAGAAUAGGAUGUCGAUCCUAUUUUGUUGGUUUUCGGGACUCGACAUAAUGAUAAAUAGGGACAGUCGGGGGCAUUUGUAUUCAAACGACAGAGGUGAAAUUCUUGGACCGUUUGAAGACAAACUACUGCGAAAGCAUUUGCCAAGAAUGUUUUCAUUAAUCAAGAACGAAAGUUAGAGGUUCGAAGGCGAUUA